Molecule: vault RNA, 111 nt
Filed under: Capsaspora owczarzaki ATCC 30864
Lineage: Eukaryota; Filasterea; Ministeriida; Capsasporidae
Rfam family: Vault RNA
About the family: This family of RNAs are found as part of the enigmatic vault ribonucleoprotein complex. The complex consists of a major vault protein (MVP), two minor vault proteins (VPARP and TEP1), and several small untranslated RNA molecules.
Source: Rfam by way of RNAcentral
GUUUGUGCAAAGCCGUCGGGAUACUUCGAUAAUGGUAAUCACUUUUGCUUCUAACAAAAACUCGCAGGUUCGAUCCCCGCACAAUUUCCCGUGGCGCAAUCACAAACCUUA